GCAAGUCGAGCGCCUCGCAAGAGGAGCGGCAGACGGGUGAGUAACGCGUGGGAAUCUACCGUGCCCUAAGGAAUAGCUCCGGGAAACUGGAAUUAAUACCUUAUACGCCCUUCGGGGGAAAGAUUUAUCGGGGUAUGAUGAGCCCGCGUUGGAUUAGCUAGUUGGUGGGGUAAAGGCCUACCAAGGCGACGAUCCAUAGCUGGUCUGAGAGGAUGAUC
RNAcentral lists this ribosomal RNA (218 nucleotides) under uncultured bacterium. RNAcentral's name for it is "partial 16S ribosomal RNA". It matches the Rfam family "Bacterial small subunit ribosomal RNA", at positions 57 to 305 of the family's 1533-position model. The record is from RNAcentral.